Molecule: ribosomal RNA, 200 nt
Filed under: uncultured bacterium
Lineage: Bacteria
Description: partial 16S ribosomal RNA
Rfam family: Bacterial small subunit ribosomal RNA
Source: RNAcentral
ACGCUCGACACCUACGGGAGGCAGCAGUGGGGAAUAUUGGGCAAUGGGCGCAAGCCUGACCCAGCAACGCCGCGUGAAGGAAGAAGGCCCUCGGGUUGUAAACUUCUUUUGACAGGGACGAAGAAAAUGACGGUACCUGUCGAAUAAGCCACGGCUAACUACGUGCCACAGCCGCGGUAAUCUGAGCGGGCUGGCAAGGC